UCUAUUUUGGCAGAUAAAUGUGUUAAAUUUAGGAUUUAAGUAUGUAUAGAAAUUUACAAGUAGAA
RNAcentral lists this transfer RNA (65 nucleotides) under Glycaspis brimblecombei. RNAcentral describes it as "tRNA-Leu". The record is from RNAcentral. Lineage: Eukaryota; Metazoa; Arthropoda; Insecta; Hemiptera; Aphalaridae.